Molecule: long non-coding RNA, 3983 nt
Filed under: Volvox carteri
Lineage: Eukaryota; Viridiplantae; Chlorophyta; Chlorophyceae; Chlamydomonadales; Volvocaceae
Description: long non-coding RNA (VCAR_LNC003468)
Source: RNAcentral
UGUCUUCUCCCCCGCUCUCGCUGCUCACGUGCCGCGCAGGUGAUCCUGAUGGGCCUGGUGGAGGGCUACCGUGUGAACGGCGGCCCGGCCGGCGAGGGCCUGGACCCGCUGUACCCCGGCGAGUCGUUCGACCCCCUGGGCCUGGCUGACGACCCGGACACCUUCGCCGAGCUCAAGGUCAAGGAGAUCAAGAACGGCCGCCUGGCCAUGUUCUCCAUGUUCGGCUUCUUCGUGCAGGCCAUUGUGACCGGCAAGGGGCCCAUUGAGAACCUGAACGACCAUCUGGCCAACCCGGCCGUCAACAACGCCUUCGCCUUCGCCACCAAGUUCACGCCCAGCGCGUAAUGUAUCGCUGCUACGUUUGCUAGUCGAAGCGGUUGUCCGCAUCUGCCGGCCGCUGCUGCCUUCAGCUACGUUACGUUGUUUAGCUAUGUGAACGUAGACACAACAUACCCAAUAAACUGCCAAUACCGGUAUACGAGACGUCACAUGCAUAGCAAUUGCAGGCAGUAGUUGCCUAUCCGUCGCUGUUGGGUAAAUACGCUUGGAUGCGCAGCUUGCCAAAACUGUUGAGUGAUGCGUGGGUGCUUGUCAGUUAUUUCCAUCGAACCUCGUUGUCGCACUGUGGCCACCUCUGUUUUUAAUGUCGUGUUCCUGCGAUGAGUUCCCGCGUGGUGAGUGGUGAGCAGCGGCGGAAGCGGUCCUGUUACGGGCCUGAAGUUUUGAUGUGGGUGUUUCCCAGUAGGGGUUUCCCACAGCACGGGUGUUGAGGUGGAGCUCUUACUUUUGGGUGGGGUAUUGGGCGGUGAGACGUGAGAUAUCAAGAGCUUCAUACAAAGCGCAUGCACGUGCUGGGUGCGUUGCGCCAAGCAAGCUCCUGUAACAUUUCGGUGUUCAUGACAUAAGGAAGGUCUCGGUUCCAGUGCUUGUUUCACCGCUUCUUGGGGCGGGAGCACAUACAGCCAUUUUGGUGGGCGCGUACUGCAAAGGCGGCCACGCAAACAGGCACACAUGGAGAACACGCGCGAGACACGAGCUAAAGGAACAUGUCAUUCAGAGGGAUGAUUCGAGGUGCAUAUGGCCACGCUCUAUCGCGCGAAAGAAGCCAAGGGUUAUCGUGGCUUUCCUGUGUUAGCGAAGUGAGCUAGGCGCUUAAUCGCGGGUUGAUGGCCUCGGUUGUCGUACAGUGCAAGAGUUAAACUUCAGCAAACCACGUUGGUAGGUCACUCCCCGCCGACAUCAUCACUGGCGCGGCAUAGGUCAUCGCCAAUCCCUCUAGCGUACAGCGGCCUCGGCCUCCGCGAACCAGGCUCGCUACCUUCCUCACAGCCAGGAACUACGUUGCCACUGGAAGGUACCCCGAUGCACCAAGAAGGCUUAUUGUGGCGCUCGCCUCGGGCUUAUGUGUCCCGUUUCGGAUAGCACAGCAUCAGCACCACGAAAAACCUGCCGAUAUGCAUAACAAAAAAUCACACACACACACCAACACACACACACAUACUUACAAACACAAACACACACAAACACAAACCACACACUCACUCUCUUUCUUUUUCUUGUCAUGCAGAAACACACAGACGCACACCCACACCCACACACAUGCACACACGCGCACACACAUGCACACACACACACACACACGCACACACACGCACAUACGCACACGCACACGCCACACUUAAGUCGAAGGAAAAAGGCACGAAGUCGGACUGGAGCCUUGUAAUGAGUGAUGCCGUUACCUGGAUUACAGUCCGGUGUAGAACCAUGGGACGUGCAAUGAUAUGGAGUCUUAAAAGCUCGGCAACCAGAUGGACGCCGCUGCAUGCUGGCUACUGCUUUCAGUAUCACCCUGGCUGGCAGGCCCCUUUCGAUCAGUUUCGCAUCCGCAAGGCCAGAGCAUGCAGCAUCGCCAAUGGUUUGACCACCUGCUCCCGUAACUUAAGAACCAAAUACCGAAUGCCAGUGCCAUGGGUCCAGUACUCCCCCAGAAAGGCAGGAUGACACACAAAUAGGCUACCCGCUGUCCCUUGUCUAUCUGGUACUGCCCCGCGACUUUAUGCAUAAAACUGCUGGUCACAAGAAGUUCUUCUUUGUUCCUUUCACAGUUCAAUUGGUAGCCUGAAGCUAAGCAUGCGUGGAGUGCUGAACAUGUAGCGUGCGUGGUGAAACCCCUGGCAAAAGAGGUAACAAACAGAGGGCGUGCUGGCGUUCCGUUCAGUACUUCAGAGGUCAAAGGCAAGCCAUGGGCAAAGUAGGAGCUUUUCCCAGGUGCCAGCCUUAGGCUCCGACGUUUGGAAGCCCGUGGCCGAUUGUAAGUUGCGAAGAGCUCAUGCGUUUGGUCGAGGCCGACCGUCCUCCCUUGAUCGGACGACAGGUUGCUACGCACGUGCUUGUUGCUUUCCUUCGGUCCUAAACGGCCUCCGGUUCGGCGCUGUCGCCCUUUUGCGGUCCAGCAGAGCUUGGACCUUGUGUUCACCGGCCCUGUCCGGGAUGGAAUGCCCUUUGCCGUCCUAAGCAGCGUGACCCAUUAUAUCAGCUUGCUUCCUAGCAAGGACAACAGCUACUGUCCUCCCGUCCUACGGUACUGGUAAUGAGUAAAGGCCGAACAGCUAGGGUCAAACAUGGAGAGACCACUUUUGGCGCCUAAAGAAUGCAUUGCAGUGCGUAUCAAAAUCCAUGUUCAGCGUGCACGUCACAGCAUUUAUACAGUCGCCACUGAGUUAUCCCUGCAUCAGAAACUUGUAUGAAACUUGCAAGCAGGUGUAGCAAAUCGUUCAUGCCAAUCUGUGCAAGUGCAGAUAGCUGUUAAGCGCAUGUGUUGCAGGUGUGCCAUGUCUGUAUCCUGCGAUCUCUGUUAGGUAAGCGCCCUGUCCCACGGACAGGACAGGGAUACGGCGUGCGUACGGCAUCAAGAUUUGCUUGCAAAACAAAAGCGCUGGUUGCCUGUGCUUUCAGUAUCAGUUCUCUCCUUUGUGCAGCAGAGUCUGAUCACCUUACGAACAUCUAAAAUGGCUUUCGCUCUCGGCACCUCGCGCGAGGCUCUGCAGGUCGCAUGCAAGGCGACCGGCAAGAAGGCCGCUGCUAAGGUCCGUUUUAUUUCGACACCAUUUAUUUUAUCAGCGUACCUUACAUAGACGCACAUACGUAUUUGCAGUGUCCUCUGGCUAACCAGAGACGUUUGUCCCGUUCGCAACAUCUUUACAGCCGGCUGCCCCCAAGAGCUCUGGCAUCGAGUGGUAUGGCCCGAACCGCGCUAAGUGGCUCGGUAGGUUAUCCUGGAGAUCCGAGGAGAUCCGAUAUGCAGCGGGUGUAGCGCGUAUCGGAGGGCCGGAAUAAUCGGUCGGUCUCCUGCAUGGUCCUCCUUUCGGCGCAACAUGCCGCAGCGUCAGGUUUCUGUGCGCAGGCUGCUCUCUCGGUCCUUUGCUGACAUCGCGCGAUGCAUGCUGCGAUGAAGGGCACAGGUUGCGUCUUUCCCCCUUUCGCGACCUGCCGUUCAGUAGCCCGCUGCCGCCGUAUGUCCGCUUUCCCCUUCUGUGCCCACAUCGGACAGGCCCCUACAGCGAGAAUGCCACCCCUGCCUACCUGACUGGCGAGUUCCCCGGUGACUACGGCUGGGACACUGCUGGCCUGUCUGCUGACCCGGAGACGUUCAAGCGCUACCGCGAGCUGGAGCUGAUCCAUGCACGCUGGGCCAUGCUUGGCGCUCUGGGCUGCCUGACCCCCGAGCUGCUGUCCAAGAACGGCGUGCAGUUCGGUGAGGCUGUGUGGUUCAAGGCCGGCGCUCAGAUCUUCCAGGAGGGCGGCCUGGACUACCUGGGCAACCCGUCGCUGGUGCACGCUCAGAACAUCGUCGCGACGCUGGCGUGCCAGGUGGGCGGGAGGGACGUGGCUGCAUGCUUAGGAAUGUGUCCGGUCGCCUUACUUGUUAGCUGGCUAGGUGAAACAAGGUGGGGCGCGGCAACUGUGCUGCCAGCCCUUGACUG